AACGGCGAGUGAAGCGGCAAUAGCUCAAAUUUGAAAUCAGGCUCUUUUAGAGUCCGAGUUGUAAUUGGUAGAGGAUGUUUCGGCUUACGCCCCGGUCUAAGUUCCUUGGAACAGGACGUCACAGAGGGUGAGAAUCCCGUUUGUGGCCGGCGGCUUCUGCCAUGUGAAGCUCCUUCGACGAGUCGAGUUGUUUGGGAAUGCAGCUCUAAAUGGGAGGUAUAUUUCUUCUAAAGCUAAAUACCGGCCAGAGACCGAUAGCGCACAAGUAGAGUGAUCGAAAGAUGAAAAGCACUUUGGAAAGAGAGUUAAAAAGUACGUGAAAUUGUUGAAAGGGAAGCGCUUGCGACCAGACUUGCCCGCGGAUGCUCAACCGGUCCUUCGGCCGGUGCACUCUUCCGCGGUCAGGCCAGCAUCAGUUUAGGCGGUUGGAUAAAGGCCUUGGGAAUGUAUCUCCUCUAGGGGAGUGUUAUAGCCCUUGGUGCAAUACAACCUGCCUGGACUGAGGCCCGCGCUUCGGCUAGGAUGCUGGCGUAAUGGUCGUAAGCGGCCCGUCUUGAAACACGGACC
This 567-nucleotide ribosomal RNA is filed under the name Acanthostigmina minuta. RNAcentral describes it as "eukaryotic LSU rRNA". It matches the Rfam family "Eukaryotic large subunit ribosomal RNA", at positions 85 to 667 of the family's 3401-position model. Lineage: Eukaryota; Fungi; Ascomycota; Dothideomycetes; Tubeufiales; Tubeufiaceae. The record is from RNAcentral.